This 45-nucleotide non-coding RNA is filed under the name Schistosoma margrebowiei. The record is from RNAcentral. Lineage: Eukaryota; Metazoa; Platyhelminthes; Trematoda; Strigeidida; Schistosomatidae.
AUUCAGUUGACGAGUCCAAAAUGGGAUGAAACGUAUGUCCUGUAU